AGAGGAAGACUGGCGGUUGCAGGCUUUGUGCCUGAGGAAAGUCCGGGCUUCCAAAAGACCAAACUUGCUGGGUAACGCCCAGUGCGGGCGACCGUGAGGAUAGUGCCACAGAAAAAUACCGCCUAACCAAUUUUGGGUUUUAGAAUACGUUCAAAACCUAAAAUUGGCUGGGUAAGGGUGCAAAGGUGCGGUAAGAGCGCACCAGCAACGUCGAGAGGCGUUGGCUCGGUAAACCCCGGUUGGAAGCAAGGUUGAACGGAGCAAUGGUUGGUCUUUAACCUGCUUCGGGUAAGAGUAGGGAAACUUACUUUUGCGCAAUCCGCUAGAGGUGUCUGGUAACAGGCAUCCCAGAUAGAUAACCGUCCUUCGACAGAACCCGGCUUAUGUCUGCCUCUCCCC
RNAcentral lists this RNase P RNA (399 nucleotides) under Cyanobacteria bacterium CAN_BIN43. Its description in RNAcentral is "RNase P RNA component class A". It matches the Rfam family "Bacterial RNase P class A". From Rfam's summary of the family: Ribonuclease P (RNase P) is a ubiquitous endoribonuclease, found in archaea, bacteria and eukarya as well as chloroplasts and mitochondria. Lineage: Bacteria; Bacillati; Cyanobacteriota. The record is from RNAcentral.